AACAUGCUCCUGAAUGACUUUUUAAUAAAUAAUGAAAUUAAGGCAGAAAUCAAGAAGCUCUUUGAAAAUAAUGAGAACAAAGUUACAACAUACUAGAGCCUCUGGACACAGCUAAGACAAUGUUAGGAGGGAAAUUUAUAGCACUAAAUCCCACAUCAAAAAGUUAGGAAGAACUCAAAUUAAUAACCUAACAUCACAACUGAAAGAACUAGAGAAGCAAGACAAAACCCCAAAGCUAGAGGAAGACAAGAAAUAACUGAAAAUCUGAGCUGAACUGAAAGAAACCGAGACAUGAAAAAAAGAAAUUCAAAAGAUCUAUGAAUUCCGGACACUACCCAAAGCAGUGCUUCACUACAGUGGCAGACAGACCUGAAAAUUUUCAUCUGAAGCAGCAGAGUGAACUGCAGAGGCAGGUCACCAACCAGUGUGGAGGCUAAAAGCGGGCCUCUUUGGGGAUUCCAGGUGGAAGUGUUGGACAUCUGUAGUAUUCCUGGUCUCGAAUCAUCCUGAUAUUCUUCAUUUUGUUAUUCACAUUGGACUAGGAGAUAGAAUCUCACUAUGUUGACCAGGCUGGUCUUGAACUCUUGGCACCCAAGCGAUCCUUUUGCCUGGAAUCCCAAAGUGUCAGAUUUACUGAAGAAUAUUUCAUUGUAAUUACUUUUUAUACUUUAUAGGUCAAGAGCUCUGUUUUAAAUACAAAAUUUAUUGAAUAUACUUUUUCAAACAAAGUUUCAUGUUCUAAUCAUUGUCUGAUUUCAGCAUUAAAUGAAACACAGUAAAGAAA
This 784-nucleotide long non-coding RNA is filed under the name Homo sapiens (human). RNAcentral describes it as "non-protein coding lnc-ANKRD36B-3:10". Lineage: Eukaryota; Metazoa; Chordata; Mammalia; Primates; Hominidae. The record is from RNAcentral.